CCUACGGGAGGCAGCAGUGAGGAAUAUUGGUCAAUGGUCGGGAGACUGAACCAGCCAAGCCGCGUGAGGGAUGAAGGUACAGAGUAUCGUAAACCUCUUUUGUCAGGGAACAAAGGCGGGGACGUGUCCCCGGCUGAGUGUACCUUAAGAAAAAGCAUCGGCUAACUCCGUGCCAGCAGCCGCGGUAAUACGGAGGAUGCGAGCGUUAUCCGGUUUUAUUGGGUUUAAAGGGUGCGCAGGCGGUCUGUUAAGUCAGCGGUCAAAGCCCGGGGCUCAACCCCGGCCCGCCGUUGAAACUGGCAGUCUCGAGUUGGAGAGAAGUAUGCGGAAUGCGCGGUGUAGCGGUGAAAUGCAUAGAUAUCGCGCAGAACUCCGAUUGCGAAGGCAGCAUGCCGGCUCCACACUGACGCUGAGGCACGAAAGCGUGGGUAUCGAACAGGAUUAGAUACCCGAGUAGUC
Molecule: ribosomal RNA, 459 nt
Filed under: uncultured bacterium
Lineage: Bacteria
Description: partial 16S ribosomal RNA
Rfam family: Bacterial small subunit ribosomal RNA
Source: RNAcentral